UUUUAUUGCCAGGCUUCACCUUUUACAUAAGUCUGAGAAUCGUUCAAGGAGCGCGGGUCUCAAGUAAGCUCUCAUCCUUGACAAACAAGAGUCUCAGACCACCAAGCCUGGUAAGUCGUCGUCCUCCUUAUCACUAUCAAACUUCUCACUGUCGGCUGCGUAGGUUCUGUUUUGGAGAGCUCUCUUCCUCAGCAUGUAGACGUUGAAGUAGUAGCUUACCAGGUCCUCCCGGCUCCUCCUUCCCGCGAAGGAAGCUUGGAGGUCCGGCCAAAACUUC
Molecule: long non-coding RNA, 277 nt
Filed under: Selaginella moellendorffii
Lineage: Eukaryota; Viridiplantae; Streptophyta; Lycopodiopsida; Selaginellales; Selaginellaceae
Description: long non-coding RNA (SMOE_LNC001843)
Source: RNAcentral